GAUGUUCUACUUUAGGCACAGGCCAAACCGGAAACAUCAGUGCAAAAAGGACAACAAACAUUUCAGCAGUUCUCAGGGCGGUAAAUCAGUACCAUGUGCCCCAGAGACAAAUCAUAACGUGUUGUUUGAAGAAUACAAAGAAGACCAGCUUGGCCACCACCACAAGCAAAAGUAAGGAGCAAUCCUGCACAUCUUAAUAUGAGGACUGCUACAGACAAAGAAAAUGGCUAUAGAUAUAAAUUCAGUGCUGUCUGGCAAAGACAAGUGUGGAAUCCAGGGAAUACCUCGGAAGUGUCAGGGAAAUUUCAAACAUUGAGAGAGAUGUAAUAGGACCAAACAAUGAGUUGGCUGACUGUCUUCCCCCUCUCAGCAGAAA
Chiloscyllium plagiosum (whitespotted bambooshark) is the source of this 376-nucleotide non-coding RNA. The record is from RefSeq and is a predicted model, not a curated record. Lineage: Eukaryota; Metazoa; Chordata; Chondrichthyes; Orectolobiformes; Hemiscylliidae.